This 253-nucleotide ribosomal RNA is filed under the name uncultured bacterium. RNAcentral describes it as "partial 16S ribosomal RNA". It matches the Rfam family "Bacterial small subunit ribosomal RNA", at positions 524 to 776 of the family's 1533-position model. The record is from RNAcentral.
UACGUAGGGGGCUAGCGUUGUCCGGAAUUAUUGGGCGUAAAGGGCUCGUAGGCGGUCUGUUGCGUCGGGAGUGAAAACUUACAGCUUAACUGUGAGCGUGCUUCCGAUACGGGCAGACUUGAGGUAUUCAGGGGAGAACGGAAUUCCUGGUGUAGCGGUGAAAUGCGCAGAUAUCAGGAGGAACACCAGUGGCGAAGGCGACUACCUGGCCUGUUCUUGACGCUGAGGCGCGAAAGCUAGGGGAGCAAACGGG